This 415-nucleotide RNase P RNA is filed under the name Rhodothermales bacterium. RNAcentral describes it as "RNase P RNA component class A". It matches the Rfam family "Bacterial RNase P class A". From Rfam's summary of the family: Ribonuclease P (RNase P) is a ubiquitous endoribonuclease, found in archaea, bacteria and eukarya as well as chloroplasts and mitochondria. Its best characterised activity is the generation of mature 5'-ends of tRNAs by cleaving the 5'-leader elements of precursor-tRNAs. Lineage: Bacteria; Pseudomonadati; Rhodothermota; Rhodothermia; Rhodothermales. The record is from RNAcentral.
GUUAUCGGUCGGAUCAUCGCGCCGCUCAUCGAGCGGUGAGGAAAGUCCGAACACCACAGGGCACCGUGCUUCCUAACGGGAAGGCAGUUGCGUUCAGCGACUGACGGCAAGUGCAACAGAAAGCAAACCAGCCGACGUCCCGGUUAUCCGGGAUCCGGUGAUGGGUGAAAUGGUGGGGUAAGAGCCCACCGGCGCUUCGGGUGACCGUUGCGGCCAGGCAAACCCCACGGGGUGCAAGGCCAAGCAGUACUGCUCCACCGCAAGGUGGGAAAGACGGCCCGUCUUGAAUGCAGUACGGGUAGGCUGCUCGAGGCCUGCGGUGACGCAGGUCCCAGAUAAAUGAUGAUCUCCUCGCACGCGCCCCGGCGGAAGGCAGGCGGGAAGACAGAAUUCGGCUUACAGACCGAUAACACCG